CCUACGGGUGGCAGCAGUGGGGAAUAUUGGACAAUGGGGGGAACCCUGAUCCAGCGACGCCGCGUGAGUUCCGCCUGUUUUCGGUCUUUCCCGCUCUCUCCGCCGUGCCGCCCCUGCCUGUCCCUGACUAAGAAGCACCGGCUCACUACGUGACAGCAGCCGCGGGACUACCUAGGGGGCACGAGUGAGCCGGCUUUCCUGGGUGUAACGGGAGCGUAGCAGGUGCAGCAUGUCUGCUGUGAACGGGCGGGGCCCACACCCGAGACUGCAUUGGAAACUGUUGAACUGGAGUGCAGGAGAGGUAAGUGGAAUUCCUAGUGUAGCGGUGAAAUGCGUAGAUAUAAGGAGGAACACCAGUGGCGAAGGCGGCUUACUGGACUGUAACUGACGUUGAGGCUCGAAAGCGUGGGGAGCAAACAGGAUUAGAUACCCUUGUAGUC
Molecule: ribosomal RNA, 440 nt
Filed under: uncultured bacterium
Lineage: Bacteria
Description: partial 16S ribosomal RNA
Rfam family: Bacterial small subunit ribosomal RNA
Source: RNAcentral